UGGAGUUUCAACUCCCCACUCUCCAGCGACAUCUAAUCAAGUGCCUUGAAUCAGAUUGACAGCCAACUCCAGGAAGGAAUUUAAACUUCACCUUAUUCCUCUCUCAGCUUUGGUUGAGAUUAUGUCUAACUUAGCCUCUGAAAUCUUACAGUUUGCUUUAGUUUCUCUGUCUACACUUUCCUCUGCUGAAACCUCUUCCAUAUGUCACACCCAUGCUUUGUCUAGUGUCAUUUAUGUUGUCACUGUUCAUCUUUUUUAUACUCUUAAUAACAGUGACAUUUUUUUUUCUGCUGACAUAUAGAUGUACACUUUCUCUUGCUUUUUGUGGCAUUCUUUCGAGCAAGGCCAUCAGAGAGGCAAUGAGGCUCCACUGUUAUGGCUGUUGCCUUAUGGUGUCCCCCUGUCUCUCUUCAGUAAUGGGCAUCACACCACCAUUUUUAUAGGUUACUUCCAGAAUCUGGAGGGCAAUGAGUUAACCACCUUUAUCUACUUUCAAAUCUUCUCAUGGGGCACUAGUUGAAGAUCCCUCAUAGCUAAGAAUUAUAUUCUCAGUUGGUAUCUUUUCUUCACCAAAAUGGUAGUUAUGGUCCUUAUUCUAUAGUGACUUUGCAUGGACCCCAUGUCCCCUCACAUUUAUUAUUCCAAAGGAAAGCCAAGGAAUACAAUGAUUCUUGCUCUUUUCUAUGUCAGUAAUCCUGUUGUUAUUUUUGGACUAUCUAUGUUUCCAAUAGAGUGACACAAAAACUCUUGCUCCCCUCCCCCACUUUUCAAUGUCAUGCCCAUCCUACUCUGAUGAGGCCUUUCUAGUCAAAUGAGUCAAAACAUUACUGGCCUAGGGACCCCCAAACCACACUUCCUUCCUCUCAACAAUGUACCUAACACUCAUCUGUCAAUAUCAAAUUCUCCCACUCUCCUCUAUACCCACCAUUACCUGCUCCCAUUCCCACAACCCUAUUUUCCUCAUCAUGAGUCUGUCCCUAUUUAGCCUCCUACCAGAUUAUACACAUUACAAGAGGAAAAUGGAGAAUAUUGACUGGUAAGAAUGCAGGUACCUUUUUCUAUGCAAGAUCUAAAACAGGCCCAACAGGAUUUAGGAAGAUUUGCUGAUGACCCUGAUAAAUAUAUAGAGGGAUUCAAACUCAGGCCUUGAGGUAAUCUGGAGAGAUAUAACAAUAAUUUUGAGUCAAACUCUAACAGAGACCUCAGUUUGCUAAGGUUUGGAGGAUGAUUUAUAUUUUCCUAACACUUUAUACCUUGUGGGUCCUUCUGCUGUUCAAACUGAGCAUCCUCAUUGGAGUUAUGAUGAUUCACUUUGAAGGUGAUACAGAGAUCACCUGAUCAUUUGUCUCAAGGCAGCACUUAAAAAUAAUAGGAUGAAACCUGUUCUAUGACAUUGGCAGUGAUUGAUCAGGGGUUGGGGUGAAAUCCCAGGACUUUUGUAGAAAUAUUGAAGGAAGGCUUAGUUAAAUAUACAUUCUUAGAUCCUGCAUCUUUUGAAAGGCAACUUAUUUUAAAAGAUAUAUUUAUUCUUCAAUUUGCCCCAGAUUUUAGAAAUAACAAAAUUGGUAGCAGGCCCUGGGACUUCCCUUAAAGUUAGCCAUGCAGGUCGUUUAUGAUCAAACCAGGAGGAAACAUGAAGGGACCUAAGAAAGGAGAAAAGAGGGCCAAGAGACCAAUACAAUUAUUGACUGCAGCUCUUCAUGGCCACCCUCUUUUCUUCCCCACAGAACCCUUGAGCCUCUGUAGGUGUCUGUCAUCAUUACAGAAAGUGAGGGCACUAGAAGAAAAUCUGCCCAAUUAAGGGCAGGCUUCCAAAGACUUCUUGCCCUGUAUGUGGCAGGAGAAGCCACUGGAAAGUGAAGCACAUGCCUGAACCCCAGUGGCUGGGGAGGCUCAGGCAGGAAGAUUGUAAGUACAAAGCCAGCCUCAGCAAAGUAGCAAGGCCCCAAGCAAUUCAGGAAGACCCUGUCUUUGAAUAAAAUAUAAAAAUGUUUGGGGAUGUUGCUUAGUGGUUAGUUUCCCCUGACUUCAGUCUCUGGUAACCCCUACCAUAAAAACCAGAUUUGCAUUCCCCAAAAGAUGCUCUGUCCUCACCACCCUUGCCAUGGAGACAAGUUUUUAGCUGGGUUUUUUUAGCUUUCUGGUGGAGGAAAUUUCUGGUUUUUGGAACUGCUCAAUGUAUCUAAUAUUUCUCUGUCUCUUGGUAUAUCAAUUUUAUGGUGAUAGUUGUAUCUUGUUGUUUUUCUCAAAGGGCAUUUGCCUCUAAAUGAUUUCCUCUAUUUCAGAUAUUGAGGCCCCCUGGAUAGAGCUUAACUCAUAAUCAAGAGCAUUUCACUGACAGCAAGUAUGGGAGAUACCUACCCUUAUCAUCAGAAAAAAACUGACUUGUAGAUGAAGUCCUCUGAACAAGAAGGCCACCAUGACAGUUCUGGAGAGGACCAACUAAGGACAAAACUCCACCACCCAACACAAAGGAGGAGAACACCAUAUUGGCAAAGAGUGCUGAAGGCACACCCAGUUCUCAAGGCAACCACAAAACACCAAAAAAUUCAUAGAUAGCACUGUUUCCUGUUGUUCUUUGCUGGGAGUGCUCUUUGUUUGAGUCUUAAUUUAGUUUUACUACUAAUAAAAUUCUCUUUUCUGGUUUUCA
This is a long non-coding RNA of Marmota monax (woodchuck), 2650 nucleotides long. RefSeq lists it as uncharacterized. Lineage: Eukaryota; Metazoa; Chordata; Mammalia; Rodentia; Sciuridae. The record is from RefSeq and is a predicted model, not a curated record. The transcript is spliced from 2 exons.